AGGUCUAACAUGAAGAUUAAAGUUUUGUUUGAUAGCCAAGAAUGUCUUGCCUCCUUUACUUGCAAGAGGUUAUAAAGUUUGGUAUUGUGAUCUAGAAACUAACCUUGUUGGAUUUCCUGCAGGCAGGUCAUUCUGGCUUAACUGACAAGCUUUUUUCUUUCAUGUUAGACUUCUCUUCUUCACCAACAAGCUUUUCAAAUAUUAUGUAUCAUUGAUUAGGAGUAUUAUUUUUAUAGGGAUUGUUCAGUUCACAGCCAAAGCUAAUUAAGAGAAAGAGGAUCUAACAUGAAGAUAAGAGUUUUGUUUGGUAACCAAGAAUGACUUGUCUGCUACUUACAAGAGGUUAAAAUGAUUGGUAUUGUUUGAAAACCUUAUUUGGUUUUCAUACAAGUUAUUUUGGCUAAACUGACAAGCUCUUUUCUUUCAUGCUAGGUUUUAUUUUCUUUACCAACAAGCUUUUAAAAAACACACACACACACACACACAUAUAUAUAUAUAUAUAUGUUGAGAGAUAUAUUGCGAGAUUCUUCAAUUUGUGUUACAAGCUUAAGCGUGAGUGAUGUCUGACAUGAAGAUAAGAAUCUCGUUUGGUAGCUAAGGAUGACUUAUCUGCUACUUGCAAAAGGUCUUCUCUUCUUCACCAAAAAGCUUUUGAUACCUUAUAUAUAUGUACGUCAUGGAGCCAAAGUUUUAUUGGCACCCUAUAGUGGAGACCGUUUACUUGACAGUACAAGUUUACGAGGAAGUAAGGUCUAACAUGAAGAUAAGAGUCUUGUUUGGUAGCCAUGGAUCAUGACUUGCAAGGUACUUGCAAGAGGUUAAAGUUGAAGUGAUUAAUAUUGUCUAGAAACCUUAUUUAGUUCCCAUGCAAUUAAGUCACCUUGGCUAAACUGACAGGCUCUUCUCUUU
Molecule: long non-coding RNA, 909 nt
Organism: Alnus glutinosa
Lineage: Eukaryota; Viridiplantae; Streptophyta; Magnoliopsida; Fagales; Betulaceae
Exons: 2
Source: RefSeq, a predicted model, not a curated record